GUAUAACGUUAUAUAGCAUUAUGAUAUAUCGUAUCAUGUUAUAUAGUAUUACGUUAUAUAGUAUAACGUUAUAUAGUAUUGCGAUAUAACGUAUAACGUUAUAUACUAUUACGAUACAUGGUAUAACGUUAUAUACUAUUGCGAUAUAACGUAUAACGUUAUAUAGCAUUACGAUAUAUCGUAUCAUGUUAUAUACUAUUACGACAUAACGUAUAACGUUAUAUACUAUUACGAUAUAACGUAUAACGUUAUAUACUGUUACGGUAUAACGUAUAACGUUAUAUACUAUUGCGAUUCAAGGUAUAAAGUUAUAUAGCAUUAUGAUAUAUCGUAUCAUGUUAUAUAGUAUUACGUUAUAUCGUAU
This 364-nucleotide unclassified non-coding RNA is filed under the name Bombus terrestris (buff-tailed bumblebee). RNAcentral describes it as "misc RNA ENSBTSG00005031186.1". Lineage: Eukaryota; Metazoa; Arthropoda; Insecta; Hymenoptera; Apidae. The record is from RNAcentral.